GGGUUGUGAGGUUAAGCGACUAAGCGUACACGGUGGAUGCCCUGGCAGUCAGAGGCGAUGAAGGACGUGCUAAUCUGCGAUAAGCGUCGGUAAGGUGAUAUGAACCGUUAUAACCGGCGAUUUCCGAAUGGGGAAACCCAGUGUGUUUCGACACACUAUCAUUACGUGAAUACAUAGCGUAAUGAAGCGAACCGGGGGAACUGAAACAUCUAAGUACCCCGAGGAAAAGAAAUCAACCGAGAUUCCCCCAGUAGCGGCGAGCGAACGGGGAGCAGCCCAGAGCCUGAAUCAGCAUGUGUGUUAGUGGAAGCGUCUGGAAAGGCGCGCGAUACAGGGUGACAGCCCCGUACACAAAAGCGCAUAUGCUGUGAGCUCGAUGAGUAGGGCGGGACACGUGGUAUCCUGUCUGAAUAUGGGGGGACCAUCCUCCAAGGCUAAAUACUCCUGACUGACCGAUAGUGAACCAGUACCGUGAGGGAAAGGCGAAAAGAACCCCGGCGAGGGGAGUGAAAAAGAACCUGAAACCGUGUACGUACAAGCAGUGGGAGCCCCACCACUAAGCCAGUGGUGAACUCCACAUACGCAUCCUUUGCUGAGGAUACGGUUAACGGAGCGAAAGCGACGUUCAACCGCAAAAGAAGCAGAGGGGGCUUAGUGGUGGGGUGACUGCGUACCUUUUGUAUAAUGGGUCAGCGACUUAUAUUCUGUAGCAAGGUUAACCGUAUAGGGGAGCCGCAGGGAAACCGAGUCUUAAC
RNAcentral lists this ribosomal RNA (755 nucleotides) under Salmonella enterica. RNAcentral describes it as "partial 23S ribosomal RNA". It matches the Rfam family "Bacterial large subunit ribosomal RNA", at positions 1 to 688 of the family's 2925-position model. The record is from RNAcentral. Lineage: Bacteria; Pseudomonadati; Pseudomonadota; Gammaproteobacteria; Enterobacterales; Enterobacteriaceae.